Molecule: long non-coding RNA, 227 nt
Organism: Telopea speciosissima
Lineage: Eukaryota; Viridiplantae; Streptophyta; Magnoliopsida; Proteales; Proteaceae
Exons: 2
Source: RefSeq, a predicted model, not a curated record
UACUUCAGUAACACGUCCCACGAUGAUAUCUCCAACCUCUGGUUUGUACCUGGCCCUCAAGGCACGGACAUAGACCAGCUUGUUAACUCGUUCCACUAUCCCGCAUAGAGUUGCAACCACUUCGCCGUCAAGCUCAGAAGUUCCAUGCCCCCUUAAUCCAACGCCAUGGAAAUUUUGAUGAACAUGAAUGGAUUCAAAAGAAGAGAAAAGAAAUUGAAAGGGCAAAG